UAAUGGAUGCCACCCUCCCCGAGGAGCCCAGUGAUCACUUAAUAGGAGGAGCAAAUUUUAUCUCCAAACAACACUUGUACUUCAGGAAAAGUGAGUUCCAACAAGAGAGGGGGAAGAAGGAACCUGAGCGCGAUCGGACAAAAUCAGCGCCCUUAAAGGCACUAUUAUUGGAGAGCUUUCAACCACUUUGGAUGAUGCCAAGGAUACAUUUCGCUAAAACAGUGAUUACACUUUUGGACCAUUGCCUUGUAAAAUGGAAAACAUAAAAUAUAUGAUGGUAGUUGGAUUCUCAAGUGUGAUCAGACUCAGGCUGGAUUCCUUUGUCAAGAUUACAGGCAUGACAGAUUUGAGAAGAAUCCAGAGAAGAGAUCUGCCUCAGCCAGUAUCACCAACUACCUGGGAGACCAACCUAAAAUAGCAAUGGAGGGGAUGUGAUGCCCUGCUGGGAACCAGAAAUUUGAAUUAAAUGGAAGGUUUCUUCAAAGGGCAUGUCAAUAGCCCCCAGUUUUUUUUAAUGAAUGGGAGGUGUUCAACUGAUCCAAUUAAAAUAUGUUUGACUGCUUUCCCAGUGACUCCCCUUUCCCUCUAGAACUCUUUAGUGACUCAUCCCUACAAUAAACAUUUAGCAGAGUACAUGUGAGGAGUGAAAAAUUCUGUAGUGUAUCCCAAAACCAAUUCCAAUGCUUGUUUAGUCACUAUUUAGACUGACUAUAUUAUUACUCCCUCAAUUGGUAUAAAUAAUGACUCAGCUGCAUUUUCAAACUAAUUAAUAUUUUACUAAAUAAACCACAGCUAUGUAAUAUACAUCUAAAAGUCAAUUGAAUUUCCCUGAAAAGUAAAAGCAGUUGCUGAUAUAUUUCUUACCUUUUUUAAUAUUCCACAUUUGUAGGAAGUGUAUCUGCCAGUCAGUUUGCCUAAGUGUAAAUCAUAUGAAUGUGUGACCACCCUGGGACACACUAAUGUUAUUGAUCAUCCACACUUUCACACGUAGGCAAUUAUCACUGAAAUUAUCAGACCUUCUGAAAUCUGAGCCAUAUGCCACCAAUUCAUAAAUCAAAGCUGGAGCUGAGCAGAAAGUUGGGUGGCUCUGUACAUGGAGAUGGGAUGAUGCAUUUCUUUUGCCCUGUUACUCCUUGUGAACCCUGGGGAGGAAUACCUUUACUGUGAAGCACUUAAUUGGCUGUAUCUCAAGAAGGCCCAGCUAUGAUUUGACAUUCACUCUCUGUUAGUGGAAGGCAGUGUGAUUCAGACAAAGGAGAGAGAGCUGACAACCUCUCUCUGAGGUGUAUGAAUAAUUAAAACAAUGUUAGCUUUGUAGAUGGCUGGUAAAUAAUGAUUUACCAUGCUCAGACUGGAUGAAUUUCGUUUUUGUCUCUUGAAUGUCUAAAUAAAGAAAAAAAGAGCAUUUUAACUUCAUAUGCAUGUCAUUUCCAUUACAAAACUAACUGUACCUUGUAGUCAAUUGACAAAAAUUAAUAAUUUAUACUCAAAAGGGAUUACAUGUGAUUCCUUAAUUUCUAAUUUCAAAUUAUAGUUUCCAAAUAUAUGAGCUGGAGUUAUAAUCUAUUUCCUAAUUGUAGGACUUUUUACAGGUAAUUUACCCAUAUUGGAUAUUUUUUUUCCUCAGCUCUAAAUGAGGGCUUGGGUCAAAUUAGAGUGCCUGUAUAUUUGAAUAGCACCUGUUAUUAAGGCAGGCCUUAAAAACUUAAAAUAAUUAGUUUUUCAGUGUUUAAAGAUCAGGUGAUUUUUUUCCCUAAUAAUAAUUCAUGUUUUGUUUUUUUAAAAAACUCAAUAUCUAGUGACACUGGGACCAACAAUCAUUUGUAAGCAAGAAGCUGCUGAGCCAAUUUACAUGGGGCAUGUGCUCUCCAGCGUGCUACAGUCCGGUUGCUCCUUAUUAGAUUCCUAACACUGAGGUGUAAUGUUACUUGCCACUUAUGCAUCCCUUGCACCACUAUGUUUUUCUAUAGCUGAUCUGCUUUACUUGUUUAUAUUCCCUGUCUGGUCGUAUAAGCUUGUGUUUGCAAUUUCUAGAACCUAAACUCAAAAAAUUAUAUGAUUUAUGACUUUAUUUCUCACGAAGGGUCAAGAAUAACUUUGCUAUACAGCAAGACAUUUUGUUAAGUCCUAAACUGUUUUUCAAAUUCUUAAAAGGCACUUUGGGUGGGUCCUGGUAACCGUAUGUGAAAGAGGCUAAUAUUUUUCUGGCAUUGGCUGGAGUCCAGCAGUUCCUAGAGGCUGUCUAUAGUUUCUUGUCAUGUGGAUUUUUCCAGAAUAGCUGAUUACCUCACCAAGCCAGCAAGGAGAGUCUCUCCCACAAGUCUGCUAAGACAGCCUUAGAAAAUUUAACCUAAUCGUGGGAGAAACCUGCUACAUCUUUGCAUAUUCUACUGAUUAGAAGCAAGUCACAAGUCCCACUUGCAUUCAGUGGGAAGGGAUUCACAAAGGUGUUAAUACAAGGAGGUGGUAAUUACUGGAGGUCAGUCUAGGGUCCAUCUGCCACAUGUAGCAAAAUACUUUUUGUUUCAGUAAACAUUUAUUCAGCACUUAACACAUAUAGCCCUCACUUGUUUAAUGAAAAAGAAAGAACACUAUAGUGAUAAACACUUUUAAAAAUAUAAAGUUGGACAAAACAGCUCCUACCUUUUAGAAAUGUAUAGUCUACUGUGAAAGUCAGAUUGACAUAUUUAUAAUUCUAUUUGUGCCCUAAAAAGUAUUUAAAAUUUUUCAAAUGUGCUUCCUAGAAUCUCUUGUAUGUUAAACUAUAUUUACUUAAGACAUGGGACUAAAUUUUUCAACAAAUUAUUUAAAGCAUGUUUGGUUCUUUUGCUUAGCUCAGUUUAUCAGACAUAUUCUUAAAGUCUUUAUCUUCUCCUUUAUGGAACAGGAAGACCAUCAGUGGAAAAAGUAAUAAACUGCCUAUAAAAAAUAAGAUGGUUUUUGUUUUCCGUAAGC
Long non-coding RNA from Manis pentadactyla (Chinese pangolin), 2955 nucleotides. RefSeq lists it as uncharacterized. Lineage: Eukaryota; Metazoa; Chordata; Mammalia; Pholidota; Manidae. The transcript is spliced from 5 exons. The record is from RefSeq and is a predicted model, not a curated record.